This is a long non-coding RNA of Cynara cardunculus var. scolymus (artichoke), 281 nucleotides long. RefSeq lists it as uncharacterized. The record is from RefSeq and is a predicted model, not a curated record. Lineage: Eukaryota; Viridiplantae; Streptophyta; Magnoliopsida; Asterales; Asteraceae. The transcript is spliced from 3 exons.
GGCUUCCAUCUUCAUCUUCCUUCAGGCUUCCAUCGUCAUCCAUCGCUCCUCUUCCGUCGCUCCCCUACUCGAAUCAGAAAUCGAACGUUUAGCAGAGGAAAAUUAAGAUGGAGAGCUGAAUCUCAACACCAGGAUUUUUCGAGAAACAGCAAUAGUAGUGAUUCACAACAACCUAACGGUUCCGUGGUAUUGCUGGUGUGCCAAAAAAUCAACUGAGUUCUGUAAUGUAUGUGAAGACUUGGGAAAUCAACUUACUCAUUCCAUGUUCUUAGAAAACAACA